RNAcentral lists this ribosomal RNA (253 nucleotides) under uncultured bacterium. Its description in RNAcentral is "partial 16S ribosomal RNA". It matches the Rfam family "Bacterial small subunit ribosomal RNA", at positions 524 to 776 of the family's 1533-position model. The record is from RNAcentral.
UACAGAGGUCUCAAGCGUUGUUCGGAUUCAUUGGGCGUAAAGGGUGCGUAGGCGGCGCGGUAAGUCGGGUGUGAAAUCUUGGAGCUUAACUCCGAAACUGCAUUCGAUACUGCCGUGCUUGAGUACUGGAGAGGAGACUGGAAUUUACGGUGUAGCGGUGAAAUGCGUAGAUAUCGUAAGGAAGACCAGUGGCGAAGGCGGGUCUCUGGACAGUUCCUGACGCUGAGGCACGAAGGCCAGGGGAGCAAACGGG